CCCGGGCACCCACGAUCCACCUACCGGUAUUUUUGGUGAAUCACGCGAUUCAAAUAUGCACCCAUUCCGAUCCACCACUGAUUAGACGAGCCGUACGACACACGUACAUUCAUAGACACACACCGAUGAUGGCGAUUAGCGAUUACCGUAUGACAAUUCACAAUAUGCUCGCGUACAGCCGAAUCCUAUCGCGGAGCGUAUGGUCCGAAUAAUUCGCUCCCGAGUCCUGCAGC
Molecule: non-coding RNA, 233 nt
Organism: Cinara cedri
Lineage: Eukaryota; Metazoa; Arthropoda; Insecta; Hemiptera; Aphididae
Source: the annotation of a GenBank genome assembly